UACGUAGGGUGCAAGCGUUGUCCGGAAUUAUUGGGCGUAAAGAGCUCGUAGGCGGUCUGUCGCGUCGAAUGUGAAAACCCGGGGCUCAACCCCGGGCCUGCAUUCGAUACGGGCAGACUAGAGUUCGGUAGGGGAGUCUGGAAUUCCUGGUGUAGCGGUGAAAUGCGCAGAUAUCAGGAGGAACACCGAUGGCGAAGGCAGGUCUCUGGGCAUUAACUGACGCUGAGGAGCGAAAGCAUGGGGAGCGAACAGG
RNAcentral lists this ribosomal RNA (253 nucleotides) under uncultured bacterium. Its description in RNAcentral is "partial 16S ribosomal RNA". It matches the Rfam family "Bacterial small subunit ribosomal RNA", at positions 524 to 776 of the family's 1533-position model. The record is from RNAcentral.